Molecule: non-coding RNA, 1383 nt
Organism: Python bivittatus (Burmese python)
Lineage: Eukaryota; Metazoa; Chordata; Lepidosauria; Squamata; Pythonidae
Source: RefSeq, a predicted model, not a curated record
UUUUAUCUUCUGAAUCUGCUGCAUUAAGCAGUCAUGCCCCCAAGGGAAAAGUGUAUUGCUCUGUUUCUGCUUGAUAGCACACAACCAAAAUGCAUAUUGAAACUCUGGGAUUCUGAGCCAGCAGUGCUAAGCGAUGGAAAAGGUUUGGGGAUUCAAGAUAAGUAACACAUCUUUCAGUAACACAUCCCUGCCAAGGAAAUUGCUUGGAGAAGAGUACACAAAGGAGCCUGCAAAAACACAAUGUGUCUAGGAACUCUCCUUCUUUUACUACUUCCCCACUGCCAUACUGAAGAGAGAGCUGCAAGGGGUGUGGUAGAUAUCUAAGAAAAUACAAGGAAUCCUACAACUCUCACAAUGAACAUUUAUAUAUUUAUAUGGAAAUCAACUCCCACUGAAUUCAACAGGGCUUGCUUCCUUAUAAAUGCACCGGUGGGGAAACAGUGGAAUCGAACAUUUUCAAGAAAAGCAUAACAGAAGAAAAAAAUAUACAUACAAAAUGGACUUUUCAGCUUUAUAAGUUCAAAGACAGCAGAACAAAGCAAAGUUUGGUCCAAAUGAUAUAUGAAACUUCUACAAAGGGUAUGAAUAUAUUUUCAUUAUCUUUGCAGGUCUCUACGCAGAAGUCCUGUUUUUCCCUCUGUAACACAAAAUCCCUUGCAAAGUGAACUUGUCAUCGUAGUGGCAAUUUCAUUCCACAAUAUAAUGUACCAAUACAGAAUAUCAAAAUAAAUACAGGAUCUACUCAUUAAAUUCUAUAUGAAUCCAGUAGUUUCUUUAAUCAGCUAUUAGACUGGGUCUAAGCAUUUAAAUAUUGUUUGGUCAUUACAAAACCAUGUAGAAGGUGGUACUAGCACCUUCUUGCUAAUUUAUUUAUCAGCAAAACUGAAGAGUUUUACUGGACAAAACCUUUCAGGCCAGAGAUGUAGAAUCAAAUGCUUCUGCAUGCAGAGAGAAGCCUAGCAUAUCAGAAAGUAAUUAGUUUUUUUUUUCUCUCUCCCCUAAAGAACACUGGUUUAGCAAGGGGUUAAUUUAAACAUGUAAUUGAUUAUCCACCUGUAACCUGAACUGGUAACAUCCAGAUUUUUUUUUCUCUUCAGAGAGAGAGAAAGAGGGAGGGAGAGAUCUCCUGUGUAAAUACUGGGUUCAUUUAAAUGGGUUCCAAAGAAAUUUAACAAUAUUAAAUUUAAAAAGGCAACUAGGCUACCAAUUGGUAAAAAUAACACAGUUCUGUCCAGUAGCAACAGUAGUUUGCAUGAAACUAGUUGCAUUUUCAGCUAUCUCUGAAACAUGCAUCAGCAAAUGAAUUCUGUCACUUGAUUCUAUUGCAGUGUUUCUCAAACUUGGCAACUUUAAGAUGUGUGGACUUCAACUCCCAGAAUUCCC